Molecule: ribosomal RNA, 253 nt
Filed under: uncultured bacterium
Lineage: Bacteria
Description: partial 16S ribosomal RNA
Rfam family: Bacterial small subunit ribosomal RNA
Source: RNAcentral
UACAGAGGGGGCAAGCGUUGUUCGGAAUUACUGGGCGUAAAGGGCGCGUAGGCGGUUGGAUAAGUCAGCUGUGAAAACCACGAGCUCAACUUGUGGCCUGCAGUUGAAACUGUCUGGCUAGAGUGUGGGAGAGGGAAGUGGAAUUCCUGGUGUAGCGGUGAAAUGCGUAGAUAUCAGGAGGAACACCGGUGGCGAAGGCGGCUUCCUGGACCACAACUGACGCUGAGGCGCGAAAGCUAGGGGAGCAAACAGG